Molecule: ribosomal RNA, 439 nt
Filed under: uncultured bacterium
Lineage: Bacteria
Description: partial 16S ribosomal RNA
Rfam family: Bacterial small subunit ribosomal RNA
Source: RNAcentral
CCUACGGGAGGCAGCAGUGGGGAAUAUUGCACAAUGGGCGAGAGCCUGAUGCAGCAACGCCGCGUGAGCGAUGAAGGCCUUAGGGUCGUAAAGCUCUGUCCUCAAGGAAGAUAAGUACGGUACUUGUGGAGCAGGCCCCGGCUCAAUACGUGCCAGCAGCCGCGGUAAUACGUAGGGGGCUAGCGUUAUCCGGAAUUACGGGGCGAAAGGUGGUCGUAGUUGGUUUCUUAAGUCAGCGGUGAAAGGCUACGGCUCAACCGUAGUAAGCCUUUGAAACUGGGGAACUUGAGUGCAGGUGAGGAGAGCGGAAUGCGUGGUGUAGCGGUGAAAUGCGUAGAUAUUAGGAGGAACACCAGUUGCGAAGGCGGCUCUCUGGACUGUAACUGACACUGAGGCACGAAAGCGUGGGGAGCAAACAGGAUUAGAUACCCGGGUAGUC